CUUUUAUAUGAGUGUAUUGCUCGACUUCCAUGGAUACUUAUUCCCUCUUUUUUCCCCUUAUAUGAGUCUACAUUUUCUGGUCGAAAAUGUUGGAAAAUCUCGUGGACUCUUGGACAUUAUUAUACCUCAUGGUAGCAGAAAGCCUGACCUGGAGGCUGAUAAAAAUCAUGAUGAGCAGUCUCCACCAAAUGUAGGGGUCAUGGACCAAGAAUCCGGUAAAUUCCACUAGUUUGAGACAUUGAGAAAUGAGCUAAUGGGAAUUGAGAAAUGCGUCCAAAAUAGUACUUAUAAGUC
Molecule: non-coding RNA, 294 nt
Organism: Arachis ipaensis
Lineage: Eukaryota; Viridiplantae; Streptophyta; Magnoliopsida; Fabales; Fabaceae
Source: RefSeq, a predicted model, not a curated record